This 1861-nucleotide long non-coding RNA is filed under the name Rattus norvegicus (Norway rat). RNAcentral's name for it is "long non-coding RNA NONRATT019067". Lineage: Eukaryota; Metazoa; Chordata; Mammalia; Rodentia; Muridae. The record is from RNAcentral.
UGCCCUUUCAGCCCCGACACUAGUUGGGGGAGAAAAAAGAAUAGAGGGAAAGGGGGCGAUGGUAUCAUUAGACUACUUUCUGCUGGAUUCCUAGGGACAAGUUUGAUCUUUGACCUCAAGAUACCUAAUUUCUUCUUAUUAUUUCAUGUUUGUGCAUGACUACUUAAUAAACCGUGACCAACAGCAACCAACCAUCCAACAGCAGCCCACCCCACGCCCUGGGGCCCUAGCAUCUAUGAACCCUCUGAAAAGUCUCCAGAAUCCCAAACAUCACACGAUCACAGAAACCAUCUGCAGCUGGCAAAGUCAGUCCCCACACCUGGGAUUAGAACAAAAACACAGUCCCAUAAUAUUUUUGUGUUUUUUAAAGAAACCAAGACUAAUUAUUACUGCAUUGCCUGAUGUUCCUGAUGUGCCUUCGUUUUCUAGGGUCACUGUGUGUAGUAUACAUGCUUAUGUGAACAUGCACCUGUGCCUCAGAUGGCUUCCAUGUCACUGUGUAGUGUACGUGUGUGUUCAUCACAUUGUGCAGAUGAACGUGAGUCUGCUGUGGAGGUCGACCUUGAGUGUCAUUCCUCAGCUGCCUACACAUCUCUCACAUUAUUUAUUUGUGUGAGGGUAUGCAUCAGCAUGCGGAUGUCAAAGGACAGUUUGCAAGAGUUGUUGUUUUCCCUUCUACCUUGUGCAUCUCUGGGAUUGAACUCAGGUCAUCAGACUUGGUGGCAAACUCUUUUACUUGUUAAGCCAUUUUGCCAACUCCCAUAUCAAUUUUUUGAGACAAGGACCCUUGUUAACUUGGAAAUUGCUAGAUUGACUAGCCAGUAAGCCCCAGGGUCUCCACCUCCCCAGUAUUGGGAACGUAAGUAUGUGCUAUCAUGCCCUGCUUUUAUAUGAAUGCUGGUGAUAAUUAAGUCAGGCCCUCAUUCUUGCAUGGCAAGUGCUUUUAUCCAGUGAGCCAUCUCUCCAGCCCUAAUUUUGUGAAGCUCUAGAAAAUCAACGUUUGCCAGGUGGUGGUGGCGUGGUGCCCACCUUUAGUCCCAGCACUGUGGGAGGCAGAGACAGGUGGAUCUCUGAGCCUGAGGCCAGCCUGGUCUACAGAGUGAGUUCUAGGACAGCCAGGGCUACCUUGUUUUAAACCAGAAAGAAGGAAAAGAGGAAAAGAAAAGGUUCUUAUUAAAAUAUACUUUGUAACGGGUGUCUCCUUAGGGCAGUAGGCACAGUCUCAUAAAAUAUACUUUGUUAGUGUGUGUGUGUGUGUGUGUGUGUGUGUGUGUGUGUGUGCGCGCGCGAGCUUGUUUUAGUGAUGUACCUGGGCCUGUGCAUGCUGAGCAAAUGAUUACUGUCGGGCUGUACUGCAGUCUCCUGUGACACUGUGUUAGGGUUGAACAUGUAGGUUUUUCUAAGAUGGUGGAAUUAAGUCUGCUGGCAGCACAUGUAGUUACUCCCAGUACUUGGGAGGCAGAGGCAGGGGAAUUCUUGAAUUCAGGGCUAGUCUGGUCUACAGAGUGAGUUCCAGAAGAGCCAGAGCUACACAGAGAUUUUUUUCUCAAAAGAAAGAAAAACCAAUCUGCCAGAGCAUAUUUGUAGCAAGGAGUUUCACACAGCUGUCUCCUGUGCUGUGUGGAAAGGGAUGUUUGCAAACCUGACUUCUGAGUCUUGCUGGAGGCUUUCCAGAGUUGGGGUCCCAUAAGUCCAGGCUGUUGACCUCCUCACUAGUGGGCUGUGAGCACGCAGGCUGUCCAUUGCCCUAUCAACGACAUAACCGUGGGCAGCUGACCACCCUAUCCUGCUGAUGGCUCUGAGCUAGGGUGCUGUGAUCACACAGGCGGUCUAUUUCCCUGCUCAUGGCCCCUGAAGUCUG